Molecule: long non-coding RNA, 2445 nt
Organism: Hylaeus volcanicus
Lineage: Eukaryota; Metazoa; Arthropoda; Insecta; Hymenoptera; Colletidae
Exons: 5
Source: RefSeq, a predicted model, not a curated record
GGCUCACAUUCGCGAAACAGAAAUACCAACCGCCGCACAGUGCGCUGAGUAUAUGAGAAAUAAGGACAAAAAUCAAAUCAGUAUUCAAAAAUAUUCUGCUUGAUGGAAAAGAGGCUAAGUAGGGGUCAUACAUGAUAAGCAAAUUUUUCUUGACAUCAUGACAUGUAUCCUUUCUUGAUAUUUUGCGGGCGUGGUUCAAUCUAUUUUUCCUAAAAAUUGUAUGCAUUGCUUCCAAUGCUUCUUCGGAUAAUUGCCCUAUGGGAUCAAGUCUUCAUACCAGUAUAAAUCGAAAAGUGUGUUACCAUUUUGCGAUCUGAAGGGACCAGAGGAGCCAAACAGUUCACUUUCUCGUUACCCAGAUGGCUCCACGUAUGGACUAGGCCCGCAUGAAAUUUCGGAAAACGAUCGUUAUAAUUGGUACAGAUGGGCAAAACCCUAGACUUUGAAUAAAUUUGAAGUUUGCCGAUGUGUUUGUCUCGUUUCCUUCUUUGCAAAAUGUUCAAAGGAGGAAACGAGACAAACAUAUCGGCAAACUUCAGAUUUAUUCGAAGCCUAGGAUUUUGCCCAUCUCUGAUAAUUGGAAUGCGAUAAAGAAUGGAUUAAGAAAGAUUAAGAAAUAAGAUUAAGAAAGACUAGUCCUAAGAAUCCAGAUUUAAACUAUUAAUCACCCAAAAACUGAAAAAAUUAACCUGGGAAAACCAUGUGGCGUCCAAAGUUUCUGGGAACCUUGUGGCAACAUAAGGCAACCAUAGUGAAACUAAGUGUAAUGAAGGAAAAUGCCAAAGAAAGUGUCCUCUCAUCGGGUAUGGGGGGAACAGACAGAGAUAAUCUCAAAAUGAAAAUAAAGAGCAGUGACAUAAGCAACUACAGCGGAAAAGUAAAAAAAAUCUUACAAACAGAGAAAAAGGAUUUAUUUGCAGAUAAUAUAGAAAAAGGGAUCUGUGUACCUUGUACCUUGAAAGUCAUAAGGGUACAGCAGUAGUAUAGUGUCCAAAAUUUCCAUAAAACCACCAAUAUUUUGACGAAUUUUUUAAAAAUAUUAUUAAUUUUACUACUUUUUUCUCAUCUACAAUUAUAUUUAAUUGACACUAAUCAUAAAUCUACGAGUAUAUGCUCGGAAAUAUUUACCUUUUGGGUGUGUUUACAUUUUUUGCUGUACGAAGCGAAAUAUAAGUGCAAAAUUUCUAUAAGGCCACUUAGUUUGUGCUUAGAUUCUGAGUAAAUAAGUCCAGCUAGACACAAUAAAGGAAGUAAAACUCCAAUAAAAAAUAAAAUGCCACGAGGAUAAUUGUUAACCAGUGAAGAAAAGGCAUCCUUUGACGCUUAUAGGGAUAUGGGAUGUUCUAAUCGCAUAAUUUCAAAGAAAAUUAACCGAUCACGUACCGUUGUAAAUAAUUACGUAAAUUUAGGAAAAAAUUAUGGCAAAAAUCAUCCCAAAGGGGGAAAUUAAAACCUGACUAAGAGACAGCAUUCAUUAUUAAUGAGAUCUGCAUCAAGAGAAUUGAGAAGUGCAGCACAACUUUGCGUUGAAUUAAAUUUGCCAAUAACUACAAGACGCAUACAACAAAUUUGAAAAAAUUCUAAACGUUUCCACUGGACAAAAAUGGUGCAGAAACCAGCACUCAAAGCCGAACACAAACAGGCUCGUCUUAAUAUUGCAAAAAUACACAUGUCCUGGUCCAAAGAAUGGGAAUUUGUUAUUUGUACUGAUGAAAAGAAAUUCAAUUUAGACAGGCCAGAUGGUCUUAAAUAUUACUGGCAUGAUUUAAGGAAAGAAAAAGACAUAACAAUGAGUUGCAACUUUGGUGGUGGUACAUUAAUAAUCUGUGCUGCAUUUAAAGCUGACGCCAAGAUACCAAUCUGUCGCAUUACUCCUAAAAUGAAUUCUGAAAAAUAUACAGAAUUAUUAGACACAAUUUUAAUACCAUUUAUUGAAGAUAUUGGACACUAUAACUUCAUUUAUCAACACGACAACGCUGCCAUUCAUACAUCAAAUUACACGAAGCAGUGGUCUGGUCAAAAAAAUAUCAGGAUUUUGACAUGACCAGCUUGUUCCCCAGAUUUAAACCCAAUAGAAAAUGUUUGGGGGAUACUCGCGAGGAAAGUUUAUGUUAAUAUGUUAAUGAAUUAUGGAACGCGGUGAACGAAGCAUGGGCAUCUAUUCAAGAAGGCACACUUCAGAGUUUGAUUUCGUCAAUGCCCCAUCGUAUUUUCGAAGUUAUUCGAAGAAAUGGCAGUUCUACUAAUUAUUAAUGAAGAAAUAAAAAAGAUCUUACUGUUAAUUUUGAACCUACUUAUUUAAAAAAUAUAUGACUUUAUAGAAAUUUCGCAGUUUGUUUUAUAUAAAAUUAUAUAUUUACGUUUAUUUCUUUAAAUAAAUAUUAUUUCUAUUAUUUCAAUGUAUGUAUAUAUAUGUGUGUGUGUGUGUGUGUGUGUGUGUGUGUG